Molecule: ribosomal RNA, 499 nt
Filed under: uncultured Glomeromycotina
Lineage: Eukaryota; Fungi; Glomeromycota
Description: partial small subunit ribosomal RNA
Rfam family: Eukaryotic small subunit ribosomal RNA
Source: RNAcentral
CCAAUAGCGUAUAUUAAAGUUGCUGCAGUUAAAAAGCUCGUAGUUGAAUUUCGGGACCAAUAUGUCGGUCGUGCUUCGGUACGUACUGUCAUAAUUGGUUUCUCCCUUCUGAAGAACCGUGAUGUCAUUAAUUUGGUGUCGUGGGGAAUCAGGACUGUUACUUUGAAAAAAUUAGAGUGUUUAAAGCAGGCGCACGCUUGAAUACAUUAGCAUGGAAUAAUGAAAUAGGACGUUUGAUUCUAUUUUGUUGGUUUCUAGGAUCGACGUAAUGAUUAAUAGGGAUAGUUGGGGGUAUUAGUAUUCAAUUGUCAGAGGUGAAAUUCUUGGAUUUAUUGAAGACUAACUACUGCGAAAGCAUUUGCCAAGGAUGUUUUCAUUAAUCAAGAACGAAAGUUAGGGGAUCGAAGACGAUCAGAUACCGUCGUAGUCUUAACCAUAAACUAUGCCGACUAGGGAUCGGAUGAUGUUAAUUUUAUAAUGACUCAUUCGGCGCCUUACG